This 253-nucleotide ribosomal RNA is filed under the name uncultured bacterium. RNAcentral's name for it is "partial 16S ribosomal RNA". It matches the Rfam family "Bacterial small subunit ribosomal RNA", at positions 524 to 776 of the family's 1533-position model. The record is from RNAcentral.
UACGUAGGGUGCGAGCGUUAAUCGGAAUUACUGGGCGUAAAGCGUGCGCAGGCGGUUCGCCGUGUCCGAUGUGAAAGCCCCGGGCUUAACCUGGGAAUGGCAUUGGAAACUGGCGGGCUUGAGUGCGGCAGAGGGGGGUGGAAUUCCGCGUGUAGCAGUGAAAUGCGUAGAGAUGCGGAGGAACACCGAUGGCGAAGGCAGCCCCCUGGGUCGACACUGACGCUCAGGCACGAAAGCGUGGGGAGCAAACAGG